RNAcentral lists this ribosomal RNA (501 nucleotides) under uncultured bacterium. RNAcentral describes it as "partial 16S ribosomal RNA". It matches the Rfam family "Bacterial small subunit ribosomal RNA", at positions 30 to 523 of the family's 1533-position model. The record is from RNAcentral.
AUUGAACGCUGGCGGCAGGCUUAACACAUGCAAGUCGAGCGGGGAAGGGUAGCUUGCUACCUAACCUAGCGGCGGACGGGUGAGUAAUGCUUAGGAAUCUGCCAUUUAGUGGGGGACAACAUUCCGAAAGGAAUGCUAAUACCGCAUACGUCCUACGGGAGAAAGCAGGGGAUCUUCGGACCUUGCGCUAAAUGAUGAGCCUAAGUCGGAUUAGCUAGUUGGUGGGGUAAAGGCCUACCAAGGCGACGAUCUGUAGCGGGUCUGAGAGGAUGAUCCGCCACACUGGGACUGAGACACGGCCCAGACUCCUACGGGAGGCAGCAGUGGGGAAUAUUGGACAAUGGGCGGAAGCCUGAUCCAGCCAUGCCGCGUGUGUGAAGAAGGCCUUAUGGUUGUAAAGCACUUUAAGCGAGGAGGAGGCUACUUAGAUUAAUACUCUAGGAUAGUGGACGUUACUUGCAGAAUAAGCACCGGCUAACUCUGUGCCAGCAGCCGCCGUAA